UACAGGUGGUGCAUGGUUGUCGUCAGCUCGUGUCGUGAGAUGUUGGGUUAAGUCCCGCAACGAGCGCAACCCUUGUCUUUAGUUACCAUCAUUAAGUUGGGGGACUCUAGAGAGACUGCCGGUGAUAAACCGGAGGAAGGUGGGGAUGACGUCAAAUCAUCAUGCCCCUUAUGGCCUGGGCUACAAACGUAAUACAAUGGCGUAUACAAAGGGAUGCGAAAGAGCGAUCUGGAGCAAAACUCAUAAAGUACGUCUCAGUUCGGAUUGAAGUCUGCAACUCGACUUCAUGAAGCUGGAAUCGCUAGUAAUCGCGGAUCAGCAUGCCGCGGUGAAUACGUUCUCGGGGUUU
RNAcentral lists this ribosomal RNA (349 nucleotides) under uncultured Erysipelothrix sp. RNAcentral's name for it is "bacterial SSU rRNA". It matches the Rfam family "Bacterial small subunit ribosomal RNA", at positions 1033 to 1382 of the family's 1533-position model. Lineage: Bacteria; Bacillati; Bacillota; Erysipelotrichia; Erysipelotrichales; Erysipelotrichaceae. The record is from RNAcentral.